This 449-nucleotide ribosomal RNA is filed under the name uncultured bacterium. RNAcentral describes it as "partial 16S ribosomal RNA". It matches the Rfam family "Bacterial small subunit ribosomal RNA", at positions 29 to 523 of the family's 1533-position model. The record is from RNAcentral.
AACGAACGCUGGCGGCAGGCCUAACACAUGCAAGUCGAACGGAUCCUUCGGGAUUAGUGGCGGACGGGUGAGUAACGCGUGGGAACAUACCCUUUGGUACGGAAUAGCCUCGGGAAACUGGGAGUAAUACCGUAUGUGGUCGAGAGACGAAAGAUUUAUCGCCAAGGGAUUGGCCCGCGUUGGAUUAGGUAGUUGGUGGGGUAAUGGCCUACCAAGCCGACGAUCCAUAGCUGGUUUGAGAGGAUGAUCAGCCACACUGGGACUGAGACACGGCCCAGACUCCUACGGGAGGCAGCAGUGGGGAAUCUUAGACAAUGGGGGAAACCCUGAUCUAGCCAUGCCGCGUGAUCGAUGAAGGCCUUAGGGUUGUAAAGAUCUUUCAGGUGGGAAGAUAAUGACUGUACCACCAGAAGAAGCCCCGGCUAACUCCGUGCCAGCCGCCGCAGUAA